GACGAACGCUGGCGGCGUGCCUAACACAUGCAAGUCGAACGAACAUUUCGGGGUUAGUGGCGGCUGGGUUGGUAACCGGUUGGAUCAUGCCUUUGGGUUCGGCCUAACUCAGGGAAACUUGUGCUAAUACCGAAUGUGACCUUCGGGGGAAAGCUUUAUUGCCUUUAGAGCGGCCAGAGUCUGAUUAGUUUGUUGGUUGAGGUAAGGGCUCACCAAGGCGGCGAUCAGUAGGUGGUAUGAGAGCAUGCUCAGGCACAUUGGGACUGAGACACGGCCCACACUCCUACGGGAGGCAGCAGUGGGGAAUCUUGCGCAAUGGGCGAAAUCCUGACGCACCCAGGCCGCGUUAAUGAUGAUGGUCUUAGAAUUGUAAUAUUCUUGCACCGGAGACUAUUAUGACGGUACCCGGAGAAGAAGCCCCGGCUAACUACGUG
This 434-nucleotide ribosomal RNA is filed under the name uncultured bacterium. Its description in RNAcentral is "partial 16S ribosomal RNA". It matches the Rfam family "Bacterial small subunit ribosomal RNA", at positions 28 to 507 of the family's 1533-position model. The record is from RNAcentral.